GUGCCAGCAGCCGCGGUAAUACAGAGGGUGCAAGCGUUAAUCGGAAUUACUGGGCGUAAAGCGAGCGUAGGUGGCUUGAUAAGUCAGAUGUGAAAUCCCCGGGCUUAACCUGGGAACUGCACCUGAAACUGUUAGGCUAGAGUAGGUGAGAGGGAAGUAGAAUUUCAGGUGUAGCGGUGAAAUGCGUAGAGAUCUGAAGGAAUACCGAUGGCGAAGGCAGCUUCCUGGCAUCAUACUGACACUGAGGCUCGAAAGCGUGGGUAGCAAACAGGAUUAGAUACCCUGGUAGUCCACGCCGUAAACGAUGUCUACUAGUCGUUGGGUCCCUUGAGGACUUAGUGACGCAGCUAACGCAAUAAGUAGACCGCCUGGGGAGUACGGCCGCA
This 386-nucleotide ribosomal RNA is filed under the name Psychrobacter glacincola. RNAcentral's name for it is "bacterial SSU rRNA". It matches the Rfam family "Bacterial small subunit ribosomal RNA", at positions 505 to 890 of the family's 1533-position model. The record is from RNAcentral. Lineage: Bacteria; Pseudomonadati; Pseudomonadota; Gammaproteobacteria; Moraxellales; Moraxellaceae.